UGGGGAAUAUUGGACAAUGGGCGAAAGCCUGAUCCAGCCAUGCCGCGUGUGUGAAGAAGGUCUUCGGAUUGUAAAGCACUUUAAGUUGGGAGGAAGGGUUGUAGAUUAAUACUCUGCAAUUUUGACGUUACCGACAGAAUAAGCACCGGCUAACUCUGUGCCAGCAGCCGCGGUAAUACAGAGGGUGCAAGCGUUAAUCGGAAUUACUGGGCGUAAAGCGCGCGUAGGUGGUUAGUUAAGUUGGAUGUGAAAUCCCCGGGCUCAACCUGGGAACUGCAUUCAAAACUGACUGACUAGAGUAUGGUAGAGGGUGGUGGAAUUUCCUGUGUAGCGGUGAAAUGCGUAGAUAUAGGAAGGAACACCAGUGGCGAAGGCGACCACCUGGACUGAUACUGACACUGAGGUACGAAAGCGUGGGGAGCAAACAGGAUUAGAUACCCCAGUAGUCCCUGAGCGGGCUGGCAAGGCGCAU
RNAcentral lists this ribosomal RNA (472 nucleotides) under uncultured bacterium. Its description in RNAcentral is "bacterial SSU rRNA". It matches the Rfam family "Bacterial small subunit ribosomal RNA", at positions 355 to 825 of the family's 1533-position model. The record is from RNAcentral.